UCUCACAUCCCUUGCAUGGUGGAGGUUGAGCUCUCUGAAAACCCCUCCCACAUGCAGGGUUUGCAGGA
RNAcentral lists this microRNA precursor (68 nucleotides) under Microtus ochrogaster (prairie vole). RNAcentral's name for it is "microRNA 188 (ENSMOCG00000010439.1)". It matches the Rfam family "mir-188 microRNA precursor family", at positions 9 to 76 of the family's 84-position model. The record is from RNAcentral. Lineage: Eukaryota; Metazoa; Chordata; Mammalia; Rodentia; Cricetidae.